UCCGUUAUUUCCGCAUGCUCC
RNAcentral lists this microRNA (21 nucleotides) under Arabidopsis lyrata. Its description in RNAcentral is "aly-miR4239". Lineage: Eukaryota; Viridiplantae; Streptophyta; Magnoliopsida; Brassicales; Brassicaceae. The record is from miRBase by way of RNAcentral.